GCGCAGCAGUCGAGAAAACUUCACACUGUGCGAAAGCACGAUGAGGGAAUCCCAAGUGCUUGCACGUAAGUGUAAGCUGUUUCUCUGUCUAAAACGCAGAGAGAGUAAGGGCUGGGUAAGACGGGUGCCAGCCGCCGCGGUAAUACCUGCAGCUCAAGUGGUGACCGUUAUUAUUGGGCCUAAAACGUCCGUAGCCGGUUUAAUAAAUGCCUGGGUAAAUUGUGUAGCUUAACUAUACGAAUUCCGGGUAGACUGUUAAACUUGAGACCGGGAGAAGUUAGAGGUACUCCUGGGGUAGAGGUGAAAUUCUGUAAUCCUAGGGGGACCACCAGUGGCGAAGGCGUCUAACUAGAACGGGUCUGACGGUGAGGGACGAAGCCCUGGGGCGCAAACGGGAUUAGAUA
RNAcentral lists this ribosomal RNA (404 nucleotides) under uncultured microorganism. RNAcentral's name for it is "bacterial SSU rRNA". It matches the Rfam family "Archaeal small subunit ribosomal RNA", at positions 330 to 735 of the family's 1478-position model. The record is from RNAcentral.